This 380-nucleotide ribosomal RNA is filed under the name uncultured Sulfuricurvum sp. RNAcentral describes it as "bacterial SSU rRNA". It matches the Rfam family "Bacterial small subunit ribosomal RNA", at positions 1003 to 1382 of the family's 1533-position model. The record is from RNAcentral. Lineage: Bacteria; Pseudomonadati; Campylobacterota; Epsilonproteobacteria; Campylobacterales; Sulfurimonadaceae.
GAGAUGGCUUCGUGCUCGAAGAGAGCCGUACACAGGUGCUGCAUGGCGUGUCGUCAGCUCGUGUCGUGAGAUGUUGGGUUAAGUCCCGCAACGAGCGCAACCUCGUCCUUAGUUGCUAACAGUUCGGCUGAGCACUCUAAGGAGACUGCCUUCGCAAGGAGGAGGAAGGUGAGGACGACGUCAAGUCAUCAUGGCCCUUACGGCCAGGGCUACACACGUGCUACAAUGGGGCGGUACAGAGAGCUGCGAUACCGCGAGGUGGAGCCAAUCUCUUAAAGCGUCUCUCAGUUCGGAUUGUUCUCUGCAACUCGAGAACAUGAAGCUGGAAUCACUAGUAAUCGCAGAUCAGCUAUGCUGCGGUGAAUACGUUCCCGGGUCUU